GCAUUCAGAGUUCUUGACUGAUCUCUAAAUUGAUUACCUUGAACUGGAUGCUUUCUUUUGAUUCAAGUGGAUGCUUUUAGAGAGAAGUUGGUUCAUAGGAACCAAUAUCUCUGCUGAAAAGAUCUCCCUUCUCCAACCUGGCAAUUUCCCAGGCAGAAGAGUAGGAGGCAGUUUCUUCUCCGUGGGAACAGCUUCAAAGGGUCCUGAUUCUCGCUGUCCGGAAACAAGUAUUUCAGGAUCCUCUGGGAUCUUGGAGUCUUCUGCUGGUUCUCCCAUGUCUGAUAUGAAACAAGAACAAAAGACCCUAGAAUGCAGGAACUUACAUUGUUUCCAUUCACAUCACAUCAGGCAGAGCUACUCAUUUUCCCCUGUCCUCCAAUGCUCCAUAAUUGAAAAGAUCUGGGGAGUAGCUAGCAUUCCCUGCCACAGUAGCAGGUCCCCCAUUAUUCCCUAA
RNAcentral lists this long non-coding RNA (454 nucleotides) under Oryctolagus cuniculus (rabbit). Its description in RNAcentral is "lncRNA (ENSOCUG00000037911.1)". The record is from RNAcentral. Lineage: Eukaryota; Metazoa; Chordata; Mammalia; Lagomorpha; Leporidae.